Non-coding RNA from Vicia faba (fava bean), 240 nucleotides. The record is from the annotation of a GenBank genome assembly. Lineage: Eukaryota; Viridiplantae; Streptophyta; Magnoliopsida; Fabales; Fabaceae.
AUGACUUAUAAAAGUUCAUCUUCGUCACAUAAGACGUCUGGGUAUGGUGGAGAAGUGAAUAAUUAUUCUGAAUCCAUGUUUCAUUCUUCUUCUUUGAAAAAUCAAUGGAGACCUAACUACUGUUGUGGUGAUUUUGCUAUACUCAAAAGGACAACAACAAUUAAAAAAAUUGUGAAGCAAUUUUGGGGAUGUCCCCACUAUAAAGGGAAUAUAAAUAAUGGAUGUGAUUAUUUUGAUUGA